GAUGAAGAACGUAGCGAAAUGCGAUAAGUAAUGUGAAUUGCAGAAUUCAGUGAAUCAUCGAAUCUUUGAACGCACAUUGCGCCCGCCAGUAUUCUGGCGGGCAUGCCUGUCCGAGCGUCAUUUCAACCAUCAAGCCCCGGGCUUGUGUUGGGGACCUGCGUCCGACGCAGGCCCUGAAAACCAGUGGCGGGCUCGCUGUCCACACCGAGCGUAGUAACUAACCUCGCUAUGGAGUGGCGCGGGCGCCUGCCGUAAAACCCCAAUUUUUACAAGGUUGACCUCGGAUCAGGUAGGAAUACCCGCUGAACUUAAGCAUAUCAAUAAGCGGAGAA
RNAcentral lists this unclassified non-coding RNA (332 nucleotides) under soil metagenome. RNAcentral's name for it is "partial contains 5.8S ribosomal RNA, internal transcribed spacer 2, and large subunit ribosomal RNA". The stretch from base 1 to 120 matches the Rfam family "5.8S ribosomal RNA", at positions 35 to 154 of the family's 154-position model. The record is from RNAcentral.